UAAGAAAAAAAGAAAAAAAAAGAAAAAGAAAACAAGG
Molecule: non-coding RNA, 37 nt
Filed under: Alexandrium tamarense
Lineage: Eukaryota; Dinophyceae; Gonyaulacales; Pyrocystaceae
Source: RNAcentral